AGCAACAAAAAGGCAAACGAAACCCAAAACAGAGCACUUGAUGCCUUUGUUUGUUGUGCGUGUGUGUGCGUGUGUGGCUGUGUGUGUAGCUGACAGAUACGCACUAUUACAGAUACAUUAUACAGAUACAAUAAUUUUUCCAAUGAUGACUCUCAAACUGUAAUUCGAAGGCAGUGACUGCCAAACUGUGCCAUAAGGAAAUAGUGAGCGUGAAGAACCUCUUUGGCUCGAUCUCGAGGGACUUUCAAAAUGUUGACAGGUUGCCCAUAACAUAGUCUAAGGCAUAUUUAUUUACUUAACUAAGAGUCUUGAGCCCCAAAUGGAGUUGAAAAGCCAAGCAAUGCUAAAAGCCAAUAUACCCUUUUAGCCACUUUGGGCAAAGGGUCGGCCCGCAAUGCGUGCCAUUUUGCGAUUAGCUGACACAAAGCCGCCCGGGCAGGAGCUACCUGUCAUGCUGUUGUUGUUGCGGUUGUUCGACCCGUACAGCUGACUUUCUAUGUCAAGCCCAAGGGUCUAAUCGCGGCACGACUGGGCGACCGUAGUCCAUAUAAGGCAAAGACGGGUUUAAAAAUCAUUUACAAAGGAAUUGGAAAAACUAGCCAAAAGCUACACUCGACAGAAAGCCUGCAUUUAAAGUUCGAAAAAGAGGCUUUUCUUUCAAAAUGCAAGUCAAUUGUGCUGUAAAAUGUGCCCAAAUCAAGUAUGAAUCAAUCUCAAUGUCAACAUUUAACAUUAAUGUUAAAUUUAAAAUAAGGUU
Drosophila novamexicana is the source of this 757-nucleotide long non-coding RNA. RefSeq lists it as uncharacterized. The transcript is spliced from 5 exons. The record is from RefSeq and is a predicted model, not a curated record. NCBI's taxonomy places the organism in Eukaryota, Metazoa, Arthropoda, Insecta, Diptera, Drosophilidae.